This 679-nucleotide ribosomal RNA is filed under the name Gymnopilus allantopus. RNAcentral's name for it is "LSU rRNA". It matches the Rfam family "Eukaryotic large subunit ribosomal RNA", at positions 263 to 935 of the family's 3401-position model. Lineage: Eukaryota; Fungi; Basidiomycota; Agaricomycetes; Agaricales; Galerinaceae. The record is from RNAcentral.
AGUCGAGUUGUUUGGGAAUGCAGCUCAAAAUGGGUGGUAAAUUCCAUCUAAAGCUAAAUAUUGGCGAGAGCCCGAUAGCGAACAAGUNCCGUGAGGGAAAGAUGAAAAGAACUUUGGAAAGAGAGUUAAACAGUACGUGAAAUUGCUGAAAGGGAAACGCUUGAAGUCAGUCGCGUCGUCCGGAGAUCAACCUUGCUUUUGCUGGGCGUACUCUCCGGUUGAUGGGCCAGCAUCAGUUUUGGCCACUGGAAAAGGGCGGAGGGAAUGUGGCAUCUUCGGAUGUGUUAUAGCCCUCCGUCGUAUACAGUGGCUGGGACUGAGGAACUCAGCACGCCGAAAGGCCGGGAUUCGUCCACGUUCGUGCUUAGGAUGCUGGCAUAAUGGCUUUAAUCGACCCGUCUUGAAACACGGACCAAGGAGUCUAACAUGCCUGCGAGUGUUUGGGUGGAAAACCCGAGCGCACAAUGAAAGUGAAAGUUGAGAUCCCUGUCGUGGGGAGCAUCGACGCCCGGACCUGACCUUUUGUGACGGAUCUGCGGUAGAGCAUGUAUGUUGGGACCCGAAAGAUGGUGANCUAUGCCUGAAUAGGGUGAAGCCAGAGGAAACUCUGGUGGAGGCUCGUAGCGAUUCUGACGUGCAAAUCGAUCGUCAAAUUUGGGUAUAGGGGCGAAAGACUAAU